ACCCGCUGAAUUUAAGCAUAUAACUAAGCGGAGGAAAAGAAACUAACAAGGAUUCCCCUAGUAAGGGCGACUGAAGCGGGAUCAGCCCAGAUUGUAAACUGACCUUAAAUACAAGGUUGGGUUGUAGUCUAAAGAGGCGACGCCAGGCAAGGUCCGGGGAGAAGUCCCUUGGAACAGGGCAUCGGAGAGGGUGACAAUCCCGUCUGUGCCUCGGACCGCGUCGUACGGUGCGUCUUCGACGAGUCGGUUUGCUUGGGAUUGCAGACCAAACGGGUGGUAAAUUCCAUCUAAGGCUAAAUACGGGUGGGAGACCGAUAGCGAACAAGUACCGUGAGGGAAAGAUGCAAAGAACUUUGAAAAGAGAGUUAAAAAGGGCCUGAAACUGGUAAGAGGGAACCGAACGGCAGAAGUGGUGAUGGGCGCGUAUUUUCCGCCGGGCUCUUGGCCGGCGUACUUGUGCGCGUCCGUAGGUCAGCGUGGGUUGGGGCGUGGGAGUCGUUCAUGGGAAGGUCUUCGGACCAAUCUCGUGUUCAGGCCGCGCCUGAGACCUUCGGUGACGAAAUUCUUCCGUUCACCCCGUCUUGAAACACGGACCAAGGAGUCUAAAAUACGAGCGAGUGCGCCGGUGGCAACCCGGGGCGCGUAAUGAAAGUGAGACCGACGGUGGGAGGGCUUUACGUCCGCACCAUCAACCGACCAGGAUCCUUCGGGUGAAAGGUUUGAGUGUAGCUUGUAUUUUGGGACCCGAAAGAUGGUGAACUAUGCCUGAAUGGGGCGAAGCCAGGGGAAACUCUGGUGGAGGCUCGUAGCGAUUCUGACGUGCAAAUCGAUCGUCAAAUUUGGGUAUAGGGGCGAAAGACUAAUCGAACCAUCUAGUAGCUGGUUCCCUCCGAAAUUUCCCUCAGGAUAGCAGCAAUCGAAGAGUUUUAUCAGGUAAAGCGAAUGAUUAGAGGCCUCAGGGGUGGAACGUCCUUGACCUAUUCUCAAACUUUAAAUGGGUAAGAGCCAGGGGUUGCUUAAGUGAACCCCUCGGUCGAAUCGCGGUUGCUAGUGGGCCACCCGGGGUAAGCUCGGUUGGCGAUGCGGGAUGAUCCGAACGUCGAGUUAAAGUGCCUCACUGCCCGCUCACCUAGAUCCCACAAAAGGUGUUGGUUCAUUUAGACAGCAGGACGGUGGCCAUGGAAGUCGGAACCCGCUAAGGAGUGUGUAACAACUCACCUGCCGAAUGGAUUAGCCCUGAAAAUGGAUGGCGCUGAAGCGAGCGACUUAUACUCGACCAUCACGGCAAGUGCGACGCCGUGAUGAGUAGGAGGGCGUGGGGCUCGUGGCGCAUCCCGCGGCGUGAGCCGGGGUGAAACGGGCUCUAGUGCAGAUCUUGGUGGUAGUAGC
This 1389-nucleotide ribosomal RNA is filed under the name Aureococcus anophagefferens. RNAcentral's name for it is "partial large subunit ribosomal RNA". It matches the Rfam family "Eukaryotic large subunit ribosomal RNA", at positions 23 to 1464 of the family's 3401-position model. Lineage: Eukaryota; Pelagophyceae; Pelagomonadales; Pelagomonadaceae. The record is from RNAcentral.